UACGUAGGGGGCAAGCGUUGUCCGGAUUUAUUGGGCGUAAAGAGCGUGUAGGCGGCCAGAUAGGUCUGCUGUGAAAACUCGAGGCUCAACCUCGAGCUGUCGGCGGAAACCAUCUGGCUAGAGUCCGGAAGAGGAGAGUGGAAUUCCUGGUGUAGCGGUGAAAUGCGCAGAUAUCAGGAAGAACACCUAUGGCGAAGGCAGCUCUCUGGGACGGUACUGACGCUGAGACGCGAAAGCGUGGGGAGCGAACAGG
Molecule: ribosomal RNA, 253 nt
Filed under: uncultured bacterium
Lineage: Bacteria
Description: partial 16S ribosomal RNA
Rfam family: Bacterial small subunit ribosomal RNA
Source: RNAcentral